This 301-nucleotide ribosomal RNA is filed under the name uncultured bacterium. RNAcentral's name for it is "partial 16S ribosomal RNA". It matches the Rfam family "Bacterial small subunit ribosomal RNA", at positions 509 to 808 of the family's 1533-position model. The record is from RNAcentral.
CAGUACCGCGGGAAUACGGAGGGGGCUAGCGUUGUUCGGAAUUACUGGGCGUAAAGCGCACGUAGGCGGCUUUGUAAGUUAGAGGUGAAAGCCUGGGGCUCAACUCCAGAAUUGCCUUUAAGACUGCAUCGCUUGAACGUCGGAGAGGUGAGUGGAAUUCCGAGUGUAGAGGUGAAAUUCGUAGAUAUUCGGAAGAACACCAGUGGCGAAGGCGGCUUACUGGUCCAUUACUGACGCUGAGGUGCGAAAGCGUGGGGAGCAAACAGGAUUAGAUACCCCCGUAGUCCCUGUCUCUUAUACA